RNAcentral lists this ribosomal RNA (496 nucleotides) under uncultured bacterium. RNAcentral's name for it is "bacterial SSU rRNA". It matches the Rfam family "Bacterial small subunit ribosomal RNA", at positions 29 to 523 of the family's 1533-position model. The record is from RNAcentral.
AAUGAACGCUGGCGGCGUGCCUAACACAUGCAAGUCGAGCGAGAAAGUCUCUUCGGAGAUAAGUACAGCGGCGGACGGGUGAGUAACGCGUGAGAAUUUACCCUUUAGUGAAGAAUACCUCUGAGAAAUCAGGGUUAAUACUGCAUACGUCCCUACGGGGAGAAAGGUGGCCUCUUUGCUGCCGCUAAAGGAUAAGCUUGCGUACUAUUAGCUAGUUGGUGAGGUAAAGGCUCACCAAGGCGAUGAUGGUUAGCCGGCCUGAGAGGGUGUACGGCCACACUGGAACUUAGACACGGUCCAGACUCCUACGGGAGGCAGCAGUGAGGAAUAUUGCGCAAUGGGCGAAAGCCUGACGCAGCGACGCCGCGUGGAGGAUGAAGGUCUUCGGAUUGUAAACUCCUGUUAAGUGGGAAGAAAGACCUAUUUCUAAUACAGAUAGGGGAUGACGGUACCAUUAGAGAAGCACCGGCUAACUUCGUUCCAGCAGCCGCGGUAA